GCUAUUAAAAAAAAAAAAAAAAAAAAAUCUUUGGGGUCAACUUUCCACUUGUGCCUUUAGCUCUUGAACAAGUACUUUUAUGGUUUCUUCUAAUAUAUAGGAUUUAUCUGCAGCUCUGUGAAGAGCUUUUAAAUUUAAUCCAGCGUUGAAGUAGUAAUUUGUUGCUGGGGCUUUAUAACAGGCUUUUCUUUUAACUUUCCCGGGAUGCGGGCUCUUUGUGCGGGCUAAUCUGCGGUACACAAUGCCAAUCUGCUCGGGGUAUCUGGGGUUUGGACCUCAGAUGUCCUCAAAAUACAAGGAAUGGAAGUUGGUAGUAUUGCCACCUUCUCUGAAAAGCACAGCUGGGUCCACAGCCCACGGAGGGACACGUCCAGAGGAGCCAGGUUUCAAAGGGAAGAGCUACCCGAGUCUGGGAGAACAGAGCCAUGGAGUCCCACUGGAGAAGGUACCACGGGGUCGUGCAGAGGAGCACCCUUGGCUUUAACGAGCCAGAUCCUCCAUCAGCAGGUGAGCACCCCGUGGCCAGAUGCUCAUCACGAUGAGGCAAAUUCUGCACCUUGCGGGACGCUGUCACCUCUCCAGAGGAAAGCAGGAUGCUAAAAAGCACACAUGGUUUCCUCCCUAAAUUAGAAAGAGCGUCUAAAGCUGUUAAGAUUAGUGCACAUCAAUCCCAGCAUUUGAAUCAAGAGAUACUUUUGUUUGACAACUAUUGGGGGGGAAAAAAAAAAAAAACCACCAUAAUUUCAUUCAAAGUGCAUUUAGUAAGACAGAAGGAGACAGAUUUCUUUGACAGUUUUACAGCUCUUAUCAGAUUACAUUAAAAUUAAAUUAAAACAAUCUAAAAGAAGUGUUAAGUACUGAAGGGAGAACACAAACAAAACACUCCUCUUUGUAGGCUUUCAGGGACGGGGAACUGAUGUUAGUUAUCAGGGAUGUGAGUAAUAAGAUUAUUCUGGAGUCAAUUAUGAACCCAUCAGUGUCAGUCCUGGGGCUGCAGAGGGUGAGCACACACCCUGCACUGAGACAAGGAACACAGAGGCCAGAGGAACAAAAUGAAAGCGUACUGGGGGGACCAGGCUAAGCCCCCUUAUUUCCUUUUUUUUUUUGGUGUGUAAUAAAACAUCAGAGUGUUUAACCCUGCCUGUUUUU
This 1149-nucleotide long non-coding RNA is filed under the name Calidris pugnax (ruff). RNAcentral describes it as "lncRNA (ENSCPUG00000005023.1)". The record is from RNAcentral. Lineage: Eukaryota; Metazoa; Chordata; Aves; Charadriiformes; Scolopacidae.